Non-coding RNA from Pelobates cultripes (western spadefoot toad), 323 nucleotides. Lineage: Eukaryota; Metazoa; Chordata; Amphibia; Anura; Pelobatidae. The record is from the annotation of a GenBank genome assembly.
UAUAUUUUAUUUUGGUAGCCCCCAAAAUAUUGGGAUAUAUAGAAAAAGACAACUCUGUUCCACAGAGUAGCUGUUGACAUUAUAGUUGCGCAGGCACUUGACUCUAGAGAACCUCGGGCCAAUCGCACAUCCCCGUGGCGGCGACUUUGCCUACGGAUGUCAUCCAUAUAAACUUUUUCUGCCAGUUUCUGCGCCUACCAUGGUGACCACGGGUAACGGGGAAUCAGGGUUCCAUUCCAUACAAGGACCCUGAGAAACGGCUACCACAUGCAAGGAAGGCAGCAGGUGCGCAAAGACCCACUCCUGACACGGGAAGGUAGUGA